GAUGAAGAACGCAGCGAAAUGUGAUAAGUAGUGUGAAUUGCAGAAUUCAGUGAAUCAUCGAAUCUUUGAACGCACAUUGCGCCCCUCGGUAUUCCGUGGGGCAUGCCUGUUCGAGCGUCAUUUACCCCUCAAGCACUGCUUGGUGUUGGGCGUCUGUCCCGCUUCGCGCGCGGACUCGCCCCAAAGGUAUUGGCAGCGGUCGUGCCAGCUUCUCGCGCAGCACAUUGCGCUUCUCGAGGCGGUCGAUCGGCGUCCACGAAGCUCACCUCCACCGUUUGACCUCGGAUCAGGUAGGGAUACCCGCUGAACUUAAGCAUAUCAAUAAGCGGAGGA
Molecule: unclassified non-coding RNA, 333 nt
Filed under: soil metagenome
Description: partial contains 5.8S ribosomal RNA, internal transcribed spacer 2, and large subunit ribosomal RNA
Rfam family: 5.8S ribosomal RNA (bases 1-120)
Source: RNAcentral